ACGAACGCUGGCGGCAUGCCUAACACAUGCCAGUCGCACGAGACCUUCGGGUCUAGUGGCGCACGGGUGCGUAACGCGUGGGAACCUGCCCUUAGGUUCGGAAUAACUCCCCGAAAGGGGUGCUAAUACCGGAUAAUGUCUUCGGACCAAAGAUUUAUCGCCUUUGGAUGGGCCCGCGUUGGAUUAGCUAGUUGGUAGGGUAAAAGCCUACCAAGGCGACGAUCCAUAGCUGGUCUGAGAGGAUGAUCAGCCACACUGGGACUGAGACACGGCCCAGACUCCUACGGGAGGCAGCAGUGGGGAAUAUUGGACAAUGGGCGAAAGCCUGAUCCAGCAAUGCCGCGUGAGUGAUGAAGGCCUUAGGGUUGUAAAGCUCUUUUACCCGGGAUGAUAAUGACAGUACCGGGAGAAUAAGCUCCGGCUAACUCCGU
This 431-nucleotide ribosomal RNA is filed under the name uncultured bacterium. RNAcentral describes it as "partial 16S ribosomal RNA". It matches the Rfam family "Bacterial small subunit ribosomal RNA", at positions 29 to 506 of the family's 1533-position model. The record is from RNAcentral.